UGGGGAAUAUUGCACAAUGGGGGAAACCCUGAUGCAGCGACGCCGCGUGAGCGAAGAAGGUUUUCGAAUCGUAAAGCUCUGUCCUAUGAGAAGAUAAUGACGGUAUCAUAGGAGGAAGCCCCGGCUAAAUACGUGCCAGCAGCCGCGGUAAUACGUAUGGGGCGAGCGUUGUCCGGAAUUAGUGGGCGUAAAGGGUACGUAGGCGGUCUAUUAAGUCAGGUGUGAAAGCGUGAGGCUUAACCUCAUUAAGCACUUGAAACUGAUAGACUUGAGUGAAGGAGAGGAAAGUGGAAGUCCUAGUGUAGCGGUGAAAUGCGUAGAUAUUAGGAGGAAUACCGGUGGCGAAGGCGACUUUCUGGACUUUUACUGACGCUCAGGUACGAAAGCGUGGGGAGCAAACAGG
Molecule: ribosomal RNA, 403 nt
Filed under: Verrucomicrobiota bacterium
Lineage: Bacteria; Pseudomonadati; Verrucomicrobiota
Description: Verrucomicrobia bacterium partial 16S ribosomal RNA
Rfam family: Bacterial small subunit ribosomal RNA
Source: RNAcentral